RNAcentral lists this ribosomal RNA (468 nucleotides) under uncultured bacterium. Its description in RNAcentral is "partial 16S ribosomal RNA". It matches the Rfam family "Bacterial small subunit ribosomal RNA", at positions 28 to 507 of the family's 1533-position model. The record is from RNAcentral.
GACGAACGCUGGCGGCGUGCUUAACACAUGCAAGUCGAACGGAAAGGCCCUGCUUGUGGGGUGUUCUCGAGUGGCGAACGUGUGAGUAACACGGGAGUAACCUGCCCUUGACUGUGGGAUAACUGCGGGAAACGGGGGCUAAUACCGUAUAGGAGCUCCUGCUGCAUGGUGUUGGUUGGUAAUUUUCGUCGGGUGGGGAUGGACUGCCGGCUUAUAAGCUUGUUGGGGGGGUAGUGGCUUACCAAGGCUUUGCCGGGUAGCCGGCCUGAGUGGGUGACCGGCACAAUUGGGCUUGAGAUCCGGCCAAGACCCUUCGGGGAGGAAGAAGGGGGGAUAAUUGAAAAAUGGGCGGAAGCCUGUUGAACGAACGCCGCGUGCGGGAUGACGGCUUUCGGGUGGUAACCCGUUUUCGCAUGUGCCGAAGCGUGAGUGACGGUAAUGGGUAAAGAAGCACCGGCUAACUACGUG